UAGUCCACGCCGUAAACGAUGAGCACUAGUUGUCGGAGGUUUGAUCCCUUCGGUGACACAGCUAACGCGUUAAGUGCUCCGCCUGGGGAGUACGGUCGCAAGACUAAAACUCAAAGGAAUUGACGGGGGCCCGCACAAGCGGUGGAUUAUGUGGUUUAAUUCGAAGCAACGCGCACAACCUUACCUAGACUUGAAAUCCCGAGAACUUUCCAGAGAUGGAUUGGUGCUCUUCGGAGAACUCGGUGACAGGUGCUGCAUGGCUGUCGUCAGCUCGUGUUGUGAAAUGUUGGGUUAAGUCUCGCAACGAGCGCAACCCCUAUCUUUAGUUGCCAGCAUUAAGUUGGGCACUCUAGAGAGACUGCCUGGGUUAACCAGGAGGAAGGUGGGGAUGACGUCAAGUCCUCAUGGGCCCUUAUGUCUAGGGG
This 425-nucleotide ribosomal RNA is filed under the name uncultured bacterium. Its description in RNAcentral is "bacterial SSU rRNA". It matches the Rfam family "Bacterial small subunit ribosomal RNA", at positions 791 to 1214 of the family's 1533-position model. The record is from RNAcentral.